GCGGGUAUAGCUCAGUGGUAGAGCGCAUGCCUAGUAUGUACCAGGUCCUGGGUUCAAUCUCCAGCACCUCCA
This 72-nucleotide transfer RNA is filed under the name Camelus ferus (Wild Bactrian camel). It matches the Rfam family "tRNA". From Rfam's summary of the family: Transfer RNA (tRNA) molecules are approximately 80 nucleotides in length. Their secondary structure includes four short double-helical elements and three loops (D, anti-codon, and T loops). Lineage: Eukaryota; Metazoa; Chordata; Mammalia; Artiodactyla; Camelidae. The record is from Rfam by way of RNAcentral.